This 493-nucleotide ribosomal RNA is filed under the name uncultured bacterium. RNAcentral's name for it is "partial 16S ribosomal RNA". It matches the Rfam family "Bacterial small subunit ribosomal RNA", at positions 28 to 506 of the family's 1533-position model. The record is from RNAcentral.
GACGAACGCUGGCGGCGUGCUUAACACAUGCAGGUCGAACGGUGAAGCGCCUUCCUUUUUGGUGGGUGUGGAUGAGUGGCGAACGGGUGAGUAACACGUGAGUAACCUGCCCCCUUCUUCUGGAUAACCGCAUGAAAGUGUGGCUAAUACGGGAUAUUCUGGGUCUGUCGCAUGAUGGGUCUGGGAAAGAUAUUGUUUCGGUGGGGGAUGGGCUCGCGGCCUAUCAGCUUGUUGGUGGGGUGAUGGCCUACCAAGGCGGUGACGGGUAGCCGGCCUGAGAGGGGGGGGGGUCACACGGGGACGGAGACACGGCCCAGACCCCUAGGGGGGGCAGCGGUGGGGAAUAUUGCACAAGGGGGGAAGGCCUGAUGCGGGGACGCCGGGUGAGGGGGGGGGGCCUUCGGGUUGGGAACCUCUUUCGCCAGGGAAGCAGGCCUGCCUCGUUUGUGGGUGGGUGGACGGGAGCUGGAUAAGAAGCGCCGGCUAACUACGU